RNAcentral lists this ribosomal RNA (314 nucleotides) under uncultured bacterium. Its description in RNAcentral is "partial 16S ribosomal RNA". It matches the Rfam family "Bacterial small subunit ribosomal RNA", at positions 499 to 809 of the family's 1533-position model. The record is from RNAcentral.
UUAUAAGAGACAGCAGCAGCCGCGGUAAUACGGAGGGUGCGAGCGUUAAUCGGAAUAACUGGGCGUAAAGGGCACGCAGGCGGUGACUUAAGUGAGGUGUGAAAGCCCCGGGCUUAACCUGGGAAUUGCAUUUCAUACUGGGUCGCUAGUGUACUUUAGGGAGGGGUAGAAUUCCACGUGUAGCGGUGAAAUGCGUAGAGAUGUGGAGGAAUACCGAAGGCGAAGGCAGCCCCUUGGGAAUGUACUGACGCUCAUGUGCGAAAGCGUGGGGAGCAAACGGGAUUAGAUACCCGGGUAGUCCCUGUCUCUUAUAU